GCUGGGUGUGGUGGUGCUCGCCUGUAAUCCCAGCUACUGAGGAGGCUGAGGCAGGAGAAUUGCUUGAACCCAGGAGGCAGAGGUUGCAGUGAGCCAAGAUCAUGCUACUGCACUCUAACCUGGGCAACAGAGCAAGACUCUGUCUCAG
RNAcentral lists this small RNA (148 nucleotides) under Pongo abelii (Sumatran orangutan). Its description in RNAcentral is "Metazoan signal recognition particle RNA (ENSPPYG00000040600.1)". Lineage: Eukaryota; Metazoa; Chordata; Mammalia; Primates; Hominidae. The record is from Rfam by way of RNAcentral.